AGCUUUUUGAAAUUAUAAAAAGUGACGUCUGCCCGGUGCAAAAUAGUAAACGGCCGCGCAAGUGCUAAGGUAGCGUAAUAAUUUGUCCCUUCAUUGGGGACCAGUAUGAAUGGCAUAACGAGGCUCAACUGUCUUCUUUAUAUAAGAAUGAAAUUGAUAUUUAAGUGAAAAAUCUUAAUAUUUAUUGAUGGACGAGAAGACCCUAUAGAGUUUUAGUACAAUACUUGACAAAAGUCAAGAUAUAUACUUUUAUUGGGGCAAUAAGAGAACAAUAAAAAUCUCAUAAAAUAAUUAAACCUCAAAGAGAAAAUAAAAUAAACUACCUUAGGGAUAACAGCGUAAUCCUAUCUAAGAGACCUAAUCGAAGAUAAGGUUUGCGACCUCGAUGUUGGACUAAGGAAACUUUUGUAUGCAGAAGUACAAAGAAGCAACCUGUUCGGCUUUUAAAUCCUUACAUG
RNAcentral lists this ribosomal RNA (458 nucleotides) under Schizoporella sp. SCHZa. Its description in RNAcentral is "partial 16S ribosomal RNA". It matches the Rfam family "Bacterial large subunit ribosomal RNA", at positions 1817 to 2602 of the family's 2925-position model. Lineage: Eukaryota; Metazoa; Bryozoa; Gymnolaemata; Cheilostomatida; Schizoporellidae. The record is from RNAcentral.